Molecule: ribosomal RNA, 773 nt
Filed under: uncultured Streptococcus sp.
Lineage: Bacteria; Bacillati; Bacillota; Bacilli; Lactobacillales; Streptococcaceae
Description: bacterial SSU rRNA
Rfam family: Bacterial small subunit ribosomal RNA
Source: RNAcentral
GACGAACGCUGGCGGCGUGCCUAAUACAUGCAAGUAGAACGCACAGGAUGCACCGUAGUUUACUACACCGUAUUCUGUGAGUUGCGAACGGGUGAGUAACGCGUAGGUAACCUGCCUGGUAGCGGGGGAUAACUAUUGGAAACGAUAGCUAAUACCGCAUAAGAACAUUUACUGCAUGGUAGAUGUUUAAAAGGUGCAAAUGCAUCACUACCAGAUGGACCUGCGUUGUAUUAGCUAGUAGGUGGGGUAACGGCUCACCUAGGCGACGAUACAUAGCCGACCUGAGAGGGUGAUCGGCCACACUGGGACUGAGACACGGCCCAGACUCCUACGGGAGGCAGCAGUAGGGAAUCUUCGGCAAUGGGGGGAACCCUGACCGAGCAACGCCGCGUGAGUGAAGAAGGUUUUCGGAUCGUAAAGCUCUGUUGUUAAGGAAGAACGAGUGUGAGAAUGGAAAGUUCAUACUGUGACGGUACUUAACCAGAAAGGGACGGCUAACUACGUGCCAGCAGCCGCGGUAAUACGUAGGUCCCGAGCGUUGUCCGGAUUUAUUGGGCGUAAAGCGAGCGCAGGCGGUUAGAUAAGUCUGAAGUUAAAGGCAGUGGCUCAACCAUUGUAGGCUUUGGAAACUGUUUAACUUGAGUGCAGAAGGGGAGAGUGGAAUUCCAUGUGUAGCGGUGAAAUGCGUAGAUAUAUGGAGGAACACCGGUGGCGAAAGCGGCUCUCUGGUCUGUAACUGACGCUGAGGCUCGAAAGCGUGGGGAGCGAACAGG